This 122-nucleotide unclassified non-coding RNA is filed under the name Thermococcus camini. Its description in RNAcentral is "Thermococcus sp. IRI35c HgcC". Lineage: Archaea; Methanobacteriati; Methanobacteriota; Thermococci; Thermococcales; Thermococcaceae. The record is from RNAcentral.
GGGCCUUUUUAUAUUCCUCACUGGUAUCACGGUCGCCCUCUACGCUGGACCGGGUGUCAAUACGGGAAGUUCCUGAAAGCCUCACCGUUCACGGCGGGGAGGAGGUCAGUGACACAAAUUUU